This 253-nucleotide ribosomal RNA is filed under the name uncultured bacterium. Its description in RNAcentral is "partial 16S ribosomal RNA". It matches the Rfam family "Bacterial small subunit ribosomal RNA", at positions 524 to 776 of the family's 1533-position model. The record is from RNAcentral.
UACGGGGGGGGUAAGCGUUGUUCGGAAUUACUGGGCGUAAAGGGCUCGUAGGCGGCCAACUAAGUCAUACGUGAAAUCCCUCAGCUUAACUGGGGAACUGCGUGUGAUACUGGAUGGCUUGGAUUUGGGAGAGGGAUGCGGAAUUCCAGGUGUAGCGGUGAAAUGCGUAGAUAUCUGGAGGAACACCGGUGGCGAAGGCGGCAUCCUGGACCAAUAUUGACGCUGAGGAGCGAAAGCUAGGGGAGCGAACGGG